Galeopterus variegatus (Sunda flying lemur) is the source of this 299-nucleotide long non-coding RNA. RefSeq lists it as uncharacterized. The transcript is spliced from 3 exons. The record is from RefSeq and is a predicted model, not a curated record. Lineage: Eukaryota; Metazoa; Chordata; Mammalia; Dermoptera; Cynocephalidae.
GAGGGAUGUGGUGACAGACUGUUCCUUAAGCAGAGAAUGAGCUUACUGUCUCAAAUGACUUCAACUCCCAUUGACUGCCUAUUUAAGCACAUUGCAUCAGGUAACCAUAUGGAAGUGGAAAGACUUCUGAGCCAAGAUGACCAUGAUAAAGAUGCCAUCCAAAAGAUGUGUCACCCUCUGUGCUUCUGUGAUGACUGCGAGAAACUUGUCUCUGGGAGGCUGAACGAUCCCUCUGUUGUCACCCCAUUCUCCAGAGAUGACAGAGGUCAUACACCUCUUCAUGUGGCUGCUCUCUGUGG